Molecule: non-coding RNA, 1879 nt
Organism: Misgurnus anguillicaudatus (oriental weatherfish)
Lineage: Eukaryota; Metazoa; Chordata; Actinopteri; Cypriniformes; Cobitidae
Source: RefSeq, a predicted model, not a curated record
ACAGCAAAACCACCAGUGUUGAUUUUACAGAGUUCGCUACUCUAGAGUGGUCAGGUGUUAGUUGUAGUGUUCGUUUAUAAUUUAUCAUCACUCACAGUGUCAGAAACUUCCACAAGGGGGUGUUGCUUUCCAGUGUUCCAAUAAUAACGUUUGCGGGGAGUUAAGAUUCACGCCACGCCCCUUCUUUCUGAAGCGGGAAAGUCAGUUACUCAGCAUCGACCGACCUGGACUCACGUUACUGAGGUUUGGAACAUGCUGCUGAAGUUGGUUAUCAGGGCUCCAGGAUAUGUAUCAAACUGCAGGAUUGAUUUAUUUUUGCUCAUUAGUGAAGGUGGUAAGCUAAACUGACUGUGGACUAAUGUAUGCAUUGUUGAUGACACUGAAAUCGAGGAAGACAUUCUACAAGAUGUGCUGCUUACAGUUAGAGGACAAAAUGAAGAUGCAACAAGCAGCUUCUGCCACUGUCAUUUACCAUCUGAACUUGACCAAAGUCGUUCCAAGAAAUCUAAGACAACAGAUGACUCCAUGACCGAGGUAAAAGAAUACACAUAGUAUUUUCACUAUGCAUAAUUAAAUGUGUGUGAAGAAGUAACAAGCAAACAUUUGUUGUGUUUUGGAAGAUGGUCAUUUGUGCCAUUAAGCAGAAUAGUGGAAGUCCUAGUCAACAUUUUUGUUGCACAUAUUGGUAAAUGCACUUCAUUAUUUUAAUUUAAUUUGUCAAAAUACAUGCUUUCAUAAAUGAUGACUUUCAAAAUCUUUAUUCAUUUGUCAAAUUGAAAUGUGUCUGUCAUCUUAUGUAUUAGAGGUCGACCGAUAUGGCUUUUUCUCUGGCCGAUGUUUAGAAAUCAGGGCAGCCGAUAUGUUUGGCUGAUUUUCUACAUGUACAUAAUAAUCAAAAUGUUCUCAUCAUUAGCAGAUAUUUUAAAUGUAAAAAUGUCACUAUUUAAGUCAAAGUAUUUAAAAAUAUAUGACUGGUCUUUCUGAAGAGUUUUACAACCUCCUCUGCACCAUGCAUUUAUCAGACACAGAUAUUACCUGACACUCUGCUGUCAUCAUCUUUGAUCAGUUUUUUUCCAUGGCUUUUAUUGCUUUGUAGGAUAAAAUCCUUAUUUGGUAGACCUGAUAAAUUAUUUAUUCAUCAUAAAGUUAACAUAGUAAAUGUCUAUGUUUUUUAGUUGAGACUGUUAUUUAGGGCAAAUCUUUCUAAACACAUUUACAUUAUCAUUUCUGAGGCGCUAUAAGUGACUGAUUGUGCUGACAGUGACGUCUUGUUCCGCCAUCGUUUACUAAAGUUGUUUGUGAACAAGGCACGGCUGCACACACGGGAGCUAUCUGCUUGCAGCAAGAGGCAGCGUCACGAGUUCUACAACAACGCUUAGGUGCCCGCAGAUGCGCCUGUCUAUUAUUCGGCCUAAUUUUGCAGCAAAAUCGGCCAAAGCCGUUUUUUAAAAAUAUGCCAAAAAUCGGUCAACCUCUAUUAUGUAUUGUACAUAGAGCUGGGUAUUGGCAAGGGCCUCCCGAUACGAUACGUAUCACGAUACAAUGCGUUGCAUGUUGUGAUACAUUGCAAUACUUUUUCUUUUUUUUAUCAAAAAUGUAAAAAAAAUAGAACUGAACACCUGCAGCUCUUUAAAUUUUCUGCCAUUUUCUCACUCCCUCUAACUUCUGAGACAUUGGCCGUAUAUGGCAGACAACUGGACAGUGACAACUACAGCAGAGGCAGAGGAGGUCAUUUGACGCACACAGAAGAAUUUGAUUGGUUUUAAAAUAUCAAUAGUAGCGAUCGAAAUAUCGAUACACUUUCGAUACAGCCAACUAUCACGAUAGUUAACUGUAUCGAUAUUUUUGCACAGCCCUAAUUGUACAGUAUUGUGACAUG